This 3264-nucleotide long non-coding RNA is filed under the name Homo sapiens (human). Its description in RNAcentral is "HSALNT0343641". Lineage: Eukaryota; Metazoa; Chordata; Mammalia; Primates; Hominidae. The record is from RNAcentral.
UAAGUCUCACAAGAUCUGAUGAGUUUAUCAGAGGUUUCCACUUUUGCUUCUUCCUCAUUCUGUCUUGCCGCCACAAUGUAAGAAUUGUCUCUCACCCUCUGCCAUGUAAGAAUUCUCUUUCACCCUCUGCCGUGAUCGUGAGACCUUCCCCAGCCAUGUGAAACUUUUUCAGCUUUCCUCCACUGUUUUGGGAAACGUCACCUUCUUAUCUUGGAAGAGUAAUCUCAAAAUUGAAGCAUCUUAGAUCCAACAAGAAUUAAAAGGAUGGGAAGUCCUUGCAGCCAUCCAAUAGAGUCAGAAGACUUUGGAUUUUGGAGUCUGUGAGAUUAUCUUACAGAGCAAGACUGCAGAUCAAGAUUUUCCAACGUGGUGCUGACUUUUUUGAGAACAGUUAAUGAGAACUAGGAAAGUCCUUGCAGACCAUCCAGUCCAGCGGCUUUCAAAUGGAAAAUGUGAAAGGACAACAGAAUCACAUGGAUUCUUUUCUGAACUGCUUUUUUCCAGUGAUGCCAUAUUCUAUAAGACUUCAUGUGAAGGUGUGGAGGACGGGAUGUACUCACAUCCCAACAAAUUGAAAAUGCUGACCAAUCCCAGCACAGCCAACUCGAAUUUGCUCCUUCAUCAAAGUGACCAGCACCUCAUUUCUUCCUCUUUAGAAUUUAUAGGCAGAUCACUGAAGCAUCACUCCUGAAUGUUCCUCUGUACCCUCAAUGUGCAUUUGCACUACCAGUGAUCUCAAGAAUUCUAGAAAAUGAAAACUGGAUUACCAUCACCAACGUCUAGGAACUGUGAGUCCUAUGGCUAUUGAUAUCUAACAUCCUGGCUUCACUCACAUGGAUGAGCCCCACCUGGAAUGCCUAGAAGACGUGGGACAGCUGGAUCUCUCUCCACACGGUUUUUCAUUGUUGCCUCAGGUUCCAAUAAAAGCAAAAGCUGCAAGGUCUUCUGAGGCAAAGACUUAGAAAUACCACAAUGUUACUUCUGCUGCAUUCUGUUGAUAAAAGAAUCCCACAAUGCCAGCUUCAUUUAAAGGGGUAAAGAUAUAGAUUAUUCACCUUCGAUGGGAGGAACUGCAAAUGAUGUAAUUAGUGAUAAUUUUUAAUAUACUGUAAUGUAUUGACUUAUCUUUAAAAAAUGAAAAAAUAAACCAAAAACUAAAAGCAAAACAAAACUAUAAUAGAAAACAAUUGCUUCUGGAGGAGGAAUGCAAUGGGGAAAAGGUUAUAGAAACAAAAGCUACAUUUUAUUUGAAUAUACCUGUUUUAGGUUUGACCCUGGUAACAUUUGAUAUUUUACAUAAUUAUAUCAUUAUUUAAAAUUAAAUUUUAAAACACCAAUACCCAUAACAGAAAAGUUUGAUAAAAGAGGUGAAAUAUAAAUAUAAAUAUAUUAAGUUUGCAUUAUAAUCACACAGAGAUGAAUUGUGUCAGUUACUCAAACACAGAUAUUUGACUAUACAACCUUUAUAAGAUAUCCUAAGGACAAAAAAACAUGCAAAAAUAUAUAUUGAACUGUUUUAAAAUUAUAUUUUUUUGCAAUUGAAUUGUUAUUGUGAGACAGGUGUGUACAUAUUUUAAGAUCAAGCAAGUUAGUAAGCUUGUUGACAUUAUUGUAAAUGGGAUUUGUCCCAUGGGGUAAAGAAGAUAUAAUAGCAAGUAGAAGAAAAUAAAUGAAAACCCAUUAAUAUGAGUUUGAAGUUAAAGUAUCAGUAUGAAGUCAUGAAGCAUUUUCCCAACAAAAAGAAAAAAAUAGUUUCCUAGUUCUAAUCACUUAAAAGUAUAUAGAAACAACAUAAAACUCAAUAUCAAGAGGAAAUGUAACUCAGAUGUGCUCUGUAGACAUUUCCCCUAAAAGGAGUUGAAGUUCAUUGCAAACAAGUAUCUAAUUCCAGCUUGGGGUUUGAAUAUUGUACAAGAUGGGCCUGGAAUAUCAAAUUCUCUUACUAAAAAGCAAGGCAGAUUUGAAAGACUAUUAGGAUGCAUCAAAGAGACUCAGAGGAGUCACCCUGAAGAGGUUACCAUUGGCCAAAGGUAAAAAUUUGAGAAUCAAUAAGAAAAUCAAAGGCAGUAGAUUAAAAUGCCUCAAAUAUGCUUAAAUCUAUCUGUUCCUAAUAAUGUUAAUUUAAAAAUAAUGUUGUCAUUGGACAGCUUUGAAGAAUGUUAGGGAUCCAUAAGAAUGUACAGUUUUGAAUUAAAGAGAAGAAUUGAGCAUUUAUCCUGUUUUUCCUUUAUGGAUUAUGUCUAAGGAUAACCAAAUGUUGAUGACAGAAAAUCCUUUUUAAAGAUACCUUUAGCCAAAGAAUGAAGAAAGAAUGAUAGAAUUGAAAUGUUACCAUUUUUGCAACCCCUAAUGAAAUAAUGAAUCUAGCCAGUUGUUAUCAAUUGUUGCUAACAUAAAAAAUGAGAGACAAACAGACACGCCUCUUCAUAGAAGUAUAUGAUACCACCUAUAAAAUAUUACUGCCAGAAAAAAAAAUCAAACUUUGGAUCUAAUUACCAAUUAGAUCAGCCUUUAGCUCUAACAACCAAUUUGCAAUAUUUACAGGAGAUACAGGAGCAUGUUGAAUGACACCAUAAAAAGGCAAUCAGUAAAAUUUAGUUUAUUAUAAACUAUAUAGGAUAAGUGAUCCAGUUGCUGCAAUAAAUAUAUUACAGAAGGUGUGUAUUGGCGGGUGGGAGAUAAAGGAGCAAUCUAUAGAUAAAAACAGACUUAAGGGACAUAAAAACAACUUUAAUGUAUGGAUCUUAUUUGGAUCCUUAAGAAAACAAAUUGUAAAGUAGCAUGAGACAUUUGAAGAAAAUAGAAAUAGUUUUUAAGUGUGGUAAUGAUAUCGUGGUUAUACGUUGUUAAAGAAUGCCUUUAGAGGUAAAUACAGAAAUAUUUGCAGAUGAACUAAAAUGAUGUCUAGAAUUUACAUAAAAGUAAUCCUGUAGGGAGAGUGAAGAAGUGGAAAGAGUGGAUAUUGAUAGGCAAGAGUAGCUAUAAUUUGACCACUGCUGAAUGUUGUUGAUGGAUAAAUGAAAAUGUAUUAUAUAUUUUUUUACUUAUAUAUUUGAAGAUUUUGAUUUUUAAUAAAGUGAAGCUGAGAAAGGGAAAAUCAUUUUUCUUGAUGUCAGGCUUUGAACAGAGAUAAAAGUAAAACCACUGUAGACCAAAGUGGAAAAAUAAAAAGCAAACAUAAACUUUUAUGCUUUCAGCUCUCUAUUACUGGCUUGUAUUUUUUUUUUAAUCUUUAUUUUAAGUUCCAGGGUACAUGUGCAGGAU